AGUGAACGCUGGCGGUAGGCCUAACACAUGCAAGUCGAACGGCAGCACAGUAAGAGCUUGCUCUUACGGGUGGCGAGUGGCGGACGGGUGAGGAAUACAUCGGAAUCUACUUUUUCGUGGGGGAUAACGUAGGGAAACUUACGCUAAUACCGCAUACGACCUACGGGUGAAAGCAGGGGAUCUUCGGACCUUGCGCGAUUGAAUGAGCCGAUGUCGGAUUAGCUAGUUGGCGGGGUAAGGCCCACCAAGGCGACGAUCCGUAGCUGGUCUAAGAGGAUGAUCAGCCACACUGGAACUGAGACACGGUCCAGACUCCUACGGGAGGCAGCAGUGGGGAAUAUUGGACAAUGGGCGCAAGCCUGAUCCAGCCAUACCGCGUGGGUGAAGAAGGCCUUCGGGUUGUAAAGCCCUUUUGUUGGGAAAGAAAAGCAGCAGGUUAAUACCCCGCUGUUCUGACGGUACCCAAAGAAUAAGCACCGGCUAACUUCGUG
RNAcentral lists this ribosomal RNA (491 nucleotides) under uncultured bacterium. Its description in RNAcentral is "partial 16S ribosomal RNA". It matches the Rfam family "Bacterial small subunit ribosomal RNA", at positions 29 to 507 of the family's 1533-position model. The record is from RNAcentral.